AGCGUUGUCCGGAAUUAUUGGGCGUAAAGGGCUCGUAGGUGGUUUGUCGCGUCGUCUGUGAAAUUCCGGGGCUUAACUUCGGGGUGGCAGGCGAUACGGGCAUAACUAGAGUGCUGUAGGGGAGACUGGAAUUCCUGGUGUAGCGGUGGAAUGCGCAGAUAUCAGGAGGAACACCGAUGGCGAAGGCAGGUCUCUGGGCUGUUACUGACGCUGAGGAGCGAAAGCGUGGGGAGCGAACAGGAUUAGAUACCCUGGUAGUCCAUGCCGUAAACGUUGGGCACUAGGUGUGGGGACCAUUCCACGGUUUCCGCGCCGCAGCUAACGCAUUAAGUGCCCCGCCUGGGGAGUACGGCCGCAAG
Molecule: ribosomal RNA, 359 nt
Filed under: Chaetoceros curvisetus
Lineage: Eukaryota; Bacillariophyta; Thalassiosirophyceae; Chaetocerotales; Chaetocerotaceae
Description: partial Bacterial small subunit ribosomal RNA
Rfam family: Bacterial small subunit ribosomal RNA
Source: RNAcentral